AAUGUCAACCGUUUCCUCAGGUUUGUGCAGGACAGCGGGGAUGAGCCCACUACAGACUUCCUCACUAAGUCCAUGGAAACGAGGAACUUCUUCGCCUCACUGGAGGCCUGUGGCCUGCAGCCUGCAUCACUGCUAUGCAACAUCAAGAGCCUCAUCAGGUUUGUCCAGUACCUGAAGACGAGGCUGGAUCUUGUGGACCAGGAGGGAAGGAACAGGUGCCAGGCCUUCCUCGACAUGCUCGCAGCCCUGCGGAAGCCGGUGUCCAAGGUUCACACCCAGGGUCUUGUAAAGAAGAGAUACGAACGGUUUGUGGCUGGUAUACCCACAGUCUACCAGUGCCAGGAGGGUCUCUGGGUGGCCAAAGCAGACCUCCUGAAUUCAUUUGGGAAACUGCUUUGCCACACUCCCCUGUCCAGCCAGGAGAAGACGUUCUUCCGGUACUACCUGCAAGCCCUGCUGGUGCUGAAACAUUUCCAGAGCCCGGGAGUCAUGAAGGGCAUGACUGUGAAUGAGUGGGGCAUCAGACAAGGUGGAUAACAGGGUCGUUGUGGCUGUCGCGGAGCACAAGACCGCUACCUCUCAGCUGGCCUACUUGGCACUGGUGGACGAGGAGGAAGCAUGGUUUCAGGCCUACUACAAGAAGAUCAGGAGUACAGUGAUGGAGGAGGAAGACUGUCAAAGGUUUUUGUUUCCUCCCGAGGCACAGGAGUGGGCAAGUUACAAGACCCAGCCAGAUCGUCAGGAGGGCCUUGGAGAUGGAGGCUGCAACGAGCUCCUCGGCUGAGCAGCAGGAGAGCGUCACUCACUACCUGCCCCAGCACUGCCGAAUGGGCCAGCCAGAGCAGGUCGUAGCCACUGCUGCCAUCUUGGGCACGCUGGGAAGCAUCUCGCCUUCCACCUCGCCACCUCCAGCACCAACCCUACAACCUCAGCCGGGGAUACCUAUGAGGACUUUGUGACCACCUACCCCGUCACCCUGCAGAGCACAUCCCGAGCAAGAGGAAGAGGGUUGAACAGGGAUUCAGCAAUGAGUCCUUCUAUGACAAGUGGCAGUAUCAGCAGUACAACCUGCGUACAUUUCCAUAGGAAUGCAAAUUUACUCCACUGGCAGGCUGUUAGUGAACAAUGCAUGGGAUCAAAGACUCUGUGUUGCAUGAUUGACCCUGUUUAUUCUUCCUGUCUGCAGCGCACUUUGGUUAGAAACCAACGUUGGCAAAGGUGACCAACUGCCUGAGGGCUGAAGAAGCGCUCCAAAGUUGGAAGCCUCCAAUGGCUGUUACAGACGGACAACGGGCUGAAACGCCGAGUGACUGCCCAAAAAUGGAAAGGCCUCAGUGUGAGAGACUUUGGAGGUGAAAAAGAUCAAGGUGUGAUGGCAGGCUGCAACUUUGCAAAGGGAGAGAUUGUCUGUGACUACCAUGGGAAGGUGAUCACGGGAGCAGAAGGCAGAGACAAGAUGGAGAUCAUGGACCAAGCUGGGAACCUGUUCUUCUUCAAGGAUGGGCAGAGGGACCUCUGCAUUGAUGCCUAGGCAGACUGCAGUGACUGCCAUCCAGACAAGGACACGCGGGGAGAAAGAUCAAUCAUUCCUCCAAAAGACCCAACCUCAAGCCUGUCCAUGUGGUGAUGAGGACAGACACGUCAUCCUCUUUAACCCUCGCUCCCUUGUAAUUUUUAGCUCCAUCUGUCCUUGUUUGUCCAGAAAACAGACAUGCUUCAACUUUCACUGCUUCAGAUCUCUUCAACAACUCCAA
Molecule: long non-coding RNA, 1754 nt
Organism: Cheilinus undulatus (humphead wrasse)
Lineage: Eukaryota; Metazoa; Chordata; Actinopteri; Labriformes; Labridae
Exons: 7
Source: RefSeq, a predicted model, not a curated record